GGGCUGUUAGCUCAGUUGGUAGAGCAGCUGACUCUUAAUCAGCGGGUCGUGGGUUCGAAUCCCUCACAGCCUA
RNAcentral lists this transfer RNA (73 nucleotides) under Magnetospira sp. QH-2. It matches the Rfam family "tRNA". Rfam says of the family: Transfer RNA (tRNA) molecules are approximately 80 nucleotides in length. Their secondary structure includes four short double-helical elements and three loops (D, anti-codon, and T loops). Further hydrogen bonds mediate the characteristic L-shaped molecular structure. tRNAs have two regions of fundamental functional importance: the anti-codon, which is responsible for specific mRNA codon recognition, and the 3' end, to which the tRNAs corresponding amino acid is attached (by aminoacyl-tRNA synthetases). tRNAs cope with the degeneracy of the genetic code in two manners: having more than one tRNA (with a specific anti-codon) for a particular amino acid; and 'wobble' base-pairing, i.e. permitting non-standard base-pairing at the 3rd anti-codon position. The record is from Rfam by way of RNAcentral. Lineage: Bacteria; Pseudomonadati; Pseudomonadota; Alphaproteobacteria; Rhodospirillales; Thalassospiraceae.